This 1136-nucleotide long non-coding RNA is filed under the name Homo sapiens (human). RNAcentral's name for it is "novel transcript". The record is from RNAcentral. Lineage: Eukaryota; Metazoa; Chordata; Mammalia; Primates; Hominidae.
GAGUUCAAUGCAGUCUCACAAUCACUGCACUCUUCCUCUCCCAGUUGCACAGAUUUCUCUGUGUCAUGCAGCUGCUAUGGGGGGAUGGAGGAGGAGUGGCAUUGGCAAUUCAAGACUGCCUUUCCUACCCUUUUCAGUGCCUCUUUCAGUGAUACGAAGCUAAAACCAGAUACUGCUUUCAUAGUACUUUUCUGACCACGGUUUUCUGGAGUUUUUUCGUAUGGAGUUUGUAAGCUUCCUGACAUGUUAUUUUUGGCAGAUUUUGAUGGAUGUACAUUGAUGGAUAGCCACGUGGAUCCAGAAAAUAAAGACUUCUACUCUGCAUUUGACUAAAGCAGAAGAUAUGCAAGGAAGCUCAGUCUCUCAAUUGAGUGGAUUCUGAAAUUUAUCCUGUUGUCUUCAGCUACUAAGGCUAAUUUGCAAAUCACACUGUGCACGGGUAAGCAUAAACUUACUUCAGCAUUCUGAGGUAACAAGACAGUUGGCUUACUGCAUCUUAGAAAGGCUUAUUGAUUUUGUUAUUGCUACAACUAUCAUGGAAGCAGAGGCAGCAAUUUCUCAAGCCUAGUUCCAAAAGGAUUAAACCUGACAAAGAUUUAUAAACAACCUGUUCAGUGGCUGCUGAUUAACUCCCCAAGAUUGAUGUACUGAAGAAGGAUGACCUCCCCUUGACACCAAUGCUACUAGUCAAUAACGACCACUGUGACUCAGAACAAAUUCUCUGGGGGCAGGCAGUGAAGCUUCUUCUCUUGUUGACCUUACCAGACCACAAGGCUGAAAAUAUUCUGUGGCCUGAUGCCCUUAAAUUGAUCAUAUUAAUACAAUCAAGCAGAAAAGAAAUUAAUUUUCCCUCUCUCUCUCUGUCUAUAUAUAUACUUACUACUAUAUAUAUGUGUGUAUAUAUAUGCUAUAUAUGUGUGUGUAUAUAUAUAGCAGUACAUAUAGAUAUAAUUAGUAUAUAUAGAAGUAGUAAAUAUAUAAAAAUAUAUUUGUAUUCCUCUUCAGCUCCAUACUUGAGAUUAAAAAGUAUCCUUUAAGAGUUCAUACAUCUAGACCUCUCUUCUGAAAAGAAUAAUAAUCUCCUGUUUAUCUAUGCACUUAUUUGCUAAAUAAAGAAGAAUAUUGAGCACCCAAAA